UACAGAGGGGGCAAGCGUUGUUCGGAAUUACUGGGCGUAAAGGGCGCGUAGGCGGCCUUCUAAGUCGAACGUGAAAUCCCCGGGCUCAACCCGGGAACUGCGUCCGAUACUGGAAGGCUUGAAUCCGGGAGAGGGAUGCGGAAUUGACGGUGUAGCGGUGAAAUGCGUAGAGAUCCGGAGGAACCCCAGAGGCGAAGGCGGCGCCCUGGCUCGCAACUGACGCUCAGACACGACAGCAUGGGGAGCGAACGGG
This 253-nucleotide ribosomal RNA is filed under the name uncultured bacterium. Its description in RNAcentral is "partial 16S ribosomal RNA". It matches the Rfam family "Bacterial small subunit ribosomal RNA", at positions 524 to 776 of the family's 1533-position model. The record is from RNAcentral.